AUGAGCCAUUUCGAGAAACUCGGGGAUUGUUGGUCUGGUUGCCUUCGGACAGCCGUUCCGGCGAGAACCGAUUUAAUCGCAGUGGCUUGAACCGGGCAAAAGUCGUAACAAGGUAGCUGUAGGUGAACCUGCUGCUGGAUCAUUACCCACUGAUCACAAUCACCACCUACCUGGCCGCCCGGUGCUGUGGGCGCAAACUUCCCUCGCGGGCAACCCAUUGCGUUGGGUGCCUAAACGUCCGUGUCCGGUCUACGGAGGCGAAGAUUCCUGGCUGGUCUUCCGAUUGGCUGCCACAGCACUGAUGGCCGAACGCCCUGUGGGCUUGCAUUGUGGGGUGCGUGUUUGGUGGCACGGUGAGCGAACGCUUCCCUCGCGGGUAACCCAUUGCGUUGGGUGCCUAAACGUCCGUGUUCGGUCUACGGAGGCGAAGAGUCCAGGAGACCCUAUUGCGUACGGGGGAAUCCGCAUCGUGUUGCCGGACGGGCACGCCCUCAGGGCACCGAACGGCUGCGUUGGCGUCUAUGCGUUGUUGAGCAGUUGUUGUGCACUUGUGUUGUGUUUUGGGUACAUGCAUGCCUUUGGAAACUUGCGCAUUGGUUCGCCCUCCGAAGGUGUGUCCAGAGCACAGUACUUGUGUGGUACGUCCGUGGCUGCGAUGAGACGGCGCGACAGGGUUCGGCCACGCGAGGCCGGGCCUAGACUUGAUGAGCCCCGAGCACGUUGGGCCGCCAACACCCUCUUUUUUCACUAAAAUUUUUUGACAAUGCACAUGUGUGUGCAGUGAGAAUAAAUUCUAGCUUUAUCGGUGGAUCACUCGGCUCGUAGGUCGAUGAAGAACGCAGCCAACUGCGAUAAGUAGUGUGAACUGCAGAAACCUUGAACACAGAACAUUCGAAUGCACAUUGCGCCAUUGGAGUGACAUCCUUUGGCACGCCUGGUUCAGGGUCGUUAUCCAAAAGCGCACAGCGUGUGCGUGUACAGGCUGCCCGAUCAACGUGUGCGAACAGACCGUUGUUCAGGCAUUGUGUGCAGUGCGCCUGGCGUGUGGUUGAGUAGCGCUGGCACGGACUUGUAUGCAUUCAGUUGCGUCCGUGUUCCUGAAAUUGGUUUAAGCGUUGCUUGGCUGCCGCUCGGGUAGCACCCAUCAUCCAUUUUCAACAUUUUCGACCUGAACUCAGACGUGAACACCCGCUGAACUUAAGCAUAUCAGAAGCGGAGGAAAAGAAACU
RNAcentral lists this unclassified non-coding RNA (1229 nucleotides) under Helicotylenchus sp. Ft.L. Its description in RNAcentral is "partial miscellaneous RNA". The stretch from base 795 to 948 matches the Rfam family "5.8S ribosomal RNA". The record is from RNAcentral. Lineage: Eukaryota; Metazoa; Nematoda; Chromadorea; Rhabditida; Hoplolaimidae.